Molecule: microRNA precursor, 91 nt
Organism: Drosophila busckii
Lineage: Eukaryota; Metazoa; Arthropoda; Insecta; Diptera; Drosophilidae
Rfam family: mir-34 microRNA precursor family
About the family: Human mir-34a was discovered computationally and later experimentally verified. The mature sequence is excised from the 5' arm of the hairpin.
Source: Rfam
UGCGCUUUGGCAGUGUGGUUAGCUGGUUGUGUGGCCAAAUUAAUUUGUUUUUAACUAAAAUCACAGCCACUAUCUUCACUGCCGCGGCGAC